AUUGAACGCUGGCGGCAGGCCUAACACAUGCAAGUCGAACGGUAACAGGAAGAAGCUUGCUUCUUUGCUGACGAGUGGCGGACGGGUGAGUAAUGUCUGGGAAACUGCCUGAUGGAGGGGGAUAACUACUGGAAACGGUAGCUAAUACCGCAUAACGUCGCAAGACCAAAGAGGGGGACCUUCGGGCCUCUUGCCAUCGGAUGUGCCCAGAUGGGAUUAGCUAGUAGGUGGGGUAACGGCUCACCUAGGCGACGAUCCCUAGCUGGUCUGAGAGGAUGACCAGCCACACUGGAACUGAGACACGGUCCAGACUCCUACGGGGGGCAGCAGUGGGGAAUAUUGCACAAAGGGCGCAAGCCUGAUGCAGCCAUGCCGCGUGUACGAAGAAGGCCUUCGGGUUGUAAAGUACUUUCAGCGGGGAGGAAGGGAGUAAAGUUAAUACCUUUGCUCAUUGACGUUACCCGCAGAAGAAGCACCGGCUAACUCCGUG
This 490-nucleotide ribosomal RNA is filed under the name uncultured bacterium. RNAcentral's name for it is "partial 16S ribosomal RNA". It matches the Rfam family "Bacterial small subunit ribosomal RNA", at positions 30 to 507 of the family's 1533-position model. The record is from RNAcentral.